RNAcentral lists this ribosomal RNA (253 nucleotides) under uncultured prokaryote. RNAcentral describes it as "partial 16S ribosomal RNA". It matches the Rfam family "Bacterial small subunit ribosomal RNA", at positions 524 to 776 of the family's 1533-position model. The record is from RNAcentral.
UACGGAGGGUGCAAGCGUUAUCCGGAUUCACUGGGUUUAAAGGGUGCGUAGGUGGACAGGUAAGUCAGUGGUGAAAUCUCCAAGCUUAACUUGGAAACUGCCGUUGAUACUAUCUGUCUUGAAUAUCGUGGAGGUAAGCGGAAUAUGUCAUGUAGCGGUGAAAUGCUUAGAUAUGACAUAGAACACCGAUUGCGAAGGCAGCUUACUACACGAUCAUUGACACUGAGGCACGAAAGCGUGGGGAGCGAACGGG